RNAcentral lists this long non-coding RNA (957 nucleotides) under Homo sapiens (human). RNAcentral's name for it is "HSALNT0056592". The record is from RNAcentral. Lineage: Eukaryota; Metazoa; Chordata; Mammalia; Primates; Hominidae.
GAUUGGCAGCCUCGCCCCCAGGCCUCAGGCCCUCCCUGGCUUGAAGGUGAGGCUUCACCAGAGACCAGCCUCCUUCUGCCCAGGAGCCUGUCUGCCUUCUGCCACUAUUCAUGGCACCCAGGCUGUUCAUGCCAAGUGGGGCCUGCAGGCCAGUGCUGAGCUGUCCUCAGCACCCUCUUAGCCUCCGUCUCUUGCUUGUCAGCACCCAAAGUCCAGAGGUGACUCUGGCGGCGGGGAUGGGUGAGUCAGCGCUGCCCCCCUAAGCAUGUGCACAACCUGGUGGUCUGUGACAGCGCCCAGCAUUGGCCGCGACUUUUCUCCAAGAUCCAAGAAGGUAGAGACAGCGGGGAGAAGCCAGGCAGCGGAAGCAGGCGUUUCCAACCCGGAAGCAGGGGGCGCCUACCUAUUUGGACCUCUCAGCGGUUAAACACAACACGGUCUACCCUCCAGAUUCAGAUUAUGCAUCUCAGAAGAAACACCACAGAAGUAAUGUUGUAUUUUCCUCCAUACAUCAAAUCAGGAGGAGAAGGAGCAUCACCCUGAGAAGAGGAGGAGAAACUUGAUUCAUUCUUGCUGCUGCUGCUGUCACUGUUGACCUGCCAACCAGUACAUUGCUAUCAAGAUUUCACAGCAUAUUUUCUCUCUGAACCACGACGAUUUUCCCAGAAAUCUCUCAUUUUGGAAAUACCCUGUCUGCUGAUGUUGGGAGUGACCUCAGGGAGGCAGCUAAUGAAUAAUGAAUUGGUAUCUAAGACUAAUAGACUAAUAUUACUGCUAGUAGCUAAUACCUAAAUCAGGAUAUUCUAGAGUCUUCUAUCCUGCCAACCCUCUAAAUGGUCAAGCUACAAAAAGCGAUUAAUAGCUCUUUCACCACUUAACCCAGCAAUUAGCCAUUUUACAAUUUUUUUCUCCUCUCAAGCAUGCACUUUUCAAAUUUUUACAUUUUUUUAAUGACCG